Molecule: ribosomal RNA, 117 nt
Filed under: Sander lucioperca (pikeperch)
Lineage: Eukaryota; Metazoa; Chordata; Actinopteri; Perciformes; Percidae
Source: RNAcentral
CCUAACCCUAACCACCCUGAACAUGCCCGAUCUUGUCUGAUCUCAGAAGCUAAGCAGGGUAGGGCCGGGACAGUACUUGGAUGGGAGACUGCCUGGGAAUACCUGGUGCUGUAAGCU